RNAcentral lists this unclassified non-coding RNA (245 nucleotides) under Hevea brasiliensis (rubber tree). Lineage: Eukaryota; Viridiplantae; Streptophyta; Magnoliopsida; Malpighiales; Euphorbiaceae. The record is from RNAcentral.
GUGGGCAGUGUCUGAAGGUAAAGUAAAUCCAUUCCGUGGCACAUUCCAAGAUUACAAGAAGAUACUGCAGUCUUCGUAGAGGAGCUUAGCGGUUUGGUUUUAAAAUGCAUUGGGUUCCAUCUGGUUGUGAGAUAGUUUUAAUAUAUAAUCUGUGCGCUUGAAGAGUUUCAAUAAUUUUGGAAUUUUAUAUAUGUAUACACAAACAGGCACGAAAUUUUCCGGGAAAAAAAAUGCCAUUUUGGAAG